AACGAACGUUGGCGGCGUGGAUUAGGCAUGCAAGUCGUACGCGAAAGAGGGGGCAACCCCUUGAGUAAAGUGGCGAACGGGUGAGUAACGCGUAGGAAACCUGCCUUCGAGAUGGGGAUAACACUCCUAACGGGGUGCUAAUACCGAAUGACACUGCGGGAUCGCAUGGUUCUGCAGUCAAAGGUGGCCUCUGCUUGCAAGCUACCGCUCAAAGAUGGUCCUGCGUCCCAUAGCUAGUUGGCGGGGUAAUGGCCCACCAAGGCGACGAUGGGUAGCCGAUCUGAGAGGAUGACCGG
This 296-nucleotide ribosomal RNA is filed under the name uncultured bacterium. RNAcentral describes it as "partial 16S ribosomal RNA". It matches the Rfam family "Bacterial small subunit ribosomal RNA", at positions 29 to 307 of the family's 1533-position model. The record is from RNAcentral.